UACGUAGGGGGCAAGCGUUGUCCGGAAUUAUUGGGCGUAAAGAGCUCGUAGGCGGCUUGGCAAGUCGGGUGUGAAACCUCCAGGCUCAACCUGGAGACGCCACUCGAUACUGCUAUGGCUAGAGUCCGGUAGGGGACCACGGAAUUCCUGGUGUAGCGGUGAAAUGCGCAGAUAUCAGGAGGAACACCGGUGGCGAAGGCGGUGGUCUGGGCCGGCACUGACGCUGAGGAGCGAAAGCGUGGGUAGCAAACAGG
Molecule: ribosomal RNA, 254 nt
Filed under: uncultured bacterium
Lineage: Bacteria
Description: partial 16S ribosomal RNA
Rfam family: Bacterial small subunit ribosomal RNA
Source: RNAcentral